GAGUAACACGUAGGUAACCUGCCUUUAAGACUGGGAUACCCAGAGGAAACUUUGGCUAAUACCGGAUAACAACAGGAGCGGCAUCGCUCCUGCUUGAAAGUCGCGUUUGCGGCACUUUUAGAUGGACCUGCGGAACAUUAGCUAGUUGGUGAGAUAACAGCCCACCAAGGCGAGGAUGUUUAGCCGACCUGAGAGGGUGAACGGCCACAAUGGGACUGAGACACGGCCCAUACUCCUACGGGAGGCAGCAGUAGGGAGUUUUCGGCAAUGGGCGAAAGCCUGACCGAGCAACGCCGCGUGAGUGAGAAGGUCUUCGGAUUGUAAAGCUCUGUUGUAAGGGAAGAAUGCCCGCUUCAGGAAAUGGGAGCGGGAUUGACGGUACCUUACCAGAAAGGGACGGCUAACUACGUGCC
RNAcentral lists this ribosomal RNA (413 nucleotides) under uncultured bacterium. RNAcentral describes it as "bacterial SSU rRNA". It matches the Rfam family "Bacterial small subunit ribosomal RNA", at positions 108 to 509 of the family's 1533-position model. The record is from RNAcentral.